GGAGGGAGUAUCAGGUUUGAUCUAUGUCCUAUUGCCCUAUGAAUGUUGUUGGGCCAGAAGUUCGAACUAGUUCACUUGGCCUUUCUGGACUGUUUUUUUCAAAAAAAAAAAAUGCUGGUAAUGUGCAAUAAGUAGACACUAACCAGUAGGACCAGACAAACCACUAUAUAUCAAUUCAUUCUUCAAAGGUAUACGUGUCAGCGGGAGCUGUCAAAAAGCUAGUUUAUUUUAGUGAAAUAACGUUUUUACAAAAUUACAGGUUUAUUUUCAAAUCUAUAAAGAACUAAAGGGUUAAGCAGCAAUUUAGCAUAGAGUAGCCUUCCAUACCUAUUCUGUAGCUUGGUCAACAGCGAUGCUAGAUGUUCGUCUGCAUUUUUAUUACCAUGUCGGGCCAUCGCUAUCAACACUGAAUUCUCAAAACAUCCUAGAAAACAUUUACUACUUCCUUGAGAAGUUUACCCCUUAAUUCUGUACUUCUUCAAACUCGAAAAAAGAAACUCUGUACUUCUGCAAGAUUAAUGAGUAAAUCUUCAGUUUUUCGAUGUUUUGACCGCCGCCUGUAGUCUUGGAAAUUUUUCUCUAGUAUUAUACAAUGGUCGAAAUUGGGGGUCUUUUCUGCAUGCAUACCACGGUUACACUGUGACAUAUACUAAAAUGCUUUUCUGAAAGUCUUAGUGUAAUGUAUGUGUAAGCUGAAAUAAAGGUAUGCAUUAUUUAUUUUGUUCCAUGGAAAGAAUUGUUGAAAUAAACCCAAGAUAAUGAUUCAUCAAGCAUAUUAUAACCAUUCUGAAUGGCUAUGAGCCUUUGAUAGUGUCAAGAUCUAACAAAUAGCUAGGACCACCAGCAGUACUAAGCACUCCUAAGAGGGGUAGGGGUCUGAUCAUAGCUAAGCAGUUAUACUUACCAACGCUUUGCAAUGGGUGGUUGGCUGAUCUACAGCUAGCUGCUUGCAGAAAUGCUGGUCAGACCUGAUUCUUUUAGAGUGAUGUUUUAGAGAAUGUGCAAGAGCUUUUCACAUCUUAUCAUGAAGAAGUGUGCCAGACGUGAUUUAUCUUUGAUAAAAGAAGUAUCGAUACCGAUAAACCCAGAGUGUGCGUACACACUAACUGCAGGCCAAAGCAUUCCAAUAUUUACUGAGCAGGUUCAUUUCCUGUGUGCAUUAUGAAUUAGCUGUGUCCGCACAUACCAUGUUUCGUUGGCAUCUUCCUAAACAUGGUAAAUAGGCGGUUCUCUCAUGUUGGGUCUCUUUUACACUAUAGCUUUGCAUAGUAUAGCAAUUUACUUGCUGGAUAUUUCAGCAGUCCAAUGUAUUUGGAACUCGGAAUAGUUAUAGAAGUAUGGUGGUAUACUUUUGAUUUGAACCAUCUGGUAAUCUUUGAUUCAAUUUUUACAGGUCACAAUACAAUGACAAAAUCUAGACUCUCGGCCCUAAUCAGCCCUAAUUUCUUUACUUCUUAAUUGCAAAUUUAUGGUUCACUAUUUGAUGCAUGGUUAAUACUCCAUUUUUUUCUUUCGGGUGUUUUUUCGGAGAAAGAAGUUUAGGCAAACUUAUUUUUCAAAUGAUGUUGUCUCAUAUCUGAGUAUAUAUUGCAUAGUCUUCGCAAAAAGGUAUACAUUACAGUGGAGACCAUGCAUUGCAAGUGUGCGGUUGCUGAUAUACCAAUUACCAAGUCUUAUGACCCUAACCCUACAAGUUUCUAUACCAAUAAUACUACAAGUUAGGUGAGAUGCUUUCCGUUUGAACUAUUUGUUAAUCCUUAAUUCAGUUUAUAAAUCACAAUCCAGUGGUUGUUGGCAAAAAUUAGACUCUCAACCCUAAUCACUUCUAUAUUAAUUGGCACAUGAUUAGUCUUUGAUAUAGUCUUUUGUUACAACUUAGGGGCUAUUUGGCAAUCCACUGCUCCCUGAAAUUCAAGGAUCUGCAGAGCACCUGUUCCCCCGCUCCAUACUUUUUACCUUCAGCUCCGCCAGCUCCGGGAGCGAGAGCGUGGAGUCGGAGGGAUGCCGAACAGGCCUUUAGUGUGAACUUAUCCCUUGAGUGGUUUAUGGGAGAAAUAAUUUCAGUGAGCUUCUAUUUUAAAUACUUUUUUCUUUGUAUGUGUGAACUGCCUUAAAAAUACUUAUCAUAUCUGUCCUACUUAUGGUCGUCAGUUCACUCUUCUCCCAAUCUUCCUCCAAACUCUGACAGGGCAGGAUCAUGCAAACCUUCACGGUCCUCCUGAAUUCUCCCCUCGUGCCGUCUCCCACCACUAAUUACAUUCGGACCAACUUUCAAACAAGUUCUUGUUCUUGGGUAAUACUCCCUCCGUCCCAAAAUAAGUGUCUCAACUUUGUACUAAUCUUAAUAUAAAGUUGUACUAACCUUAAGACAAUUAUUUUGGGACGGAGGGAGUACCAUACUCCACCUUGUUUCAUGUGGUUCGUGGCGUAGCACAGGCACCUUGCUGGUAAGCAGUAGAAUAUAGUGGAAAUGUACACUUAAAAUUGAUCCUUCACUUUUACAAGCUAAGGAAUGCAUGACGUCCUUUGUCUAACAGUUUACGUUUGCAGCCUCCUCUUUAUCCAAAGGUUGAAACACAGCAGCUUUCCAUUUUUCUACUCAUUGGCAUUGCCUGGGUAAUACUCCUGCUAUCUUUACCAUCCACUUGACAAUGUCAUUAAUCAAUUAGUUGGCAUGUACAUGCACCAUAAUUUGGGCCAUUUUAGGUGGAUCUGGGGGAUAACAGUGUCAACAUCGCUGGGUAACUUAAUGCUAUAUGCCUUACAAAUGUUGAAUGUUGAUUAGGAUGGCAUCGCCAGAUUGAUUCCAAUGAGUGUAGCAAAGGGCAAAGUUAAUGUUGGGGGACCAGUACACCUACACUACUGGACAUAUUGAAUGCAUGCUUUUGCAACAUGGGAGGUCCUUCACCAGCUACUGUGGCACCACAAGAUGUCAAGGCGGGACUAGUAUGAUUUUUUCAGAAAAUAUAGCAGCAGCAGCAGUGUCACUACCCUAAAUCAUUGGAGCAUCAUAUAUCUAACAAUUUGUUCUGCAGGACAUAUUAGGAGCACUAAUUGUCAUAAUAUUUCAGCUUUGCUGUGCGGAGCCCAUUUAUUAUGUUUUGAUGGAUGUAGACCUGAAGUGGUGAUCACCUUUUUCUGAUAACAAGGACAUGACGAGAAAGGCAAACUGAUUUGUUUGUAUCUAAGCAUCCCAACUCAGUAGGGAUCUCGCUAUAUUGGCAUCGCUUUUGCUUCUGGCCACCACCAUUGGAUUUCACCAAGGUCUUAAUCAGCAAUUUUCUUAGAGCAUCUGAUGAUUCGUGACUGAUCCCUUGUAUUACAAGAGGGUUACACACGGGAACAUCUAGGAAUUGCAUGGAGAGUCUCAUGCGCAGGAGUAAUUGAUUGACAGAUGUUUUCGGUAAAUCGUAUUCUUCGUCUCGUUUGGGCUUACCAAAUGAUUUCGAAAACUCGAGGUGCAUGCUCUCUCGUAUCUUCGGUGAUUACUCCUUCCGGCUAUACGAAGUACUAACAUACCG
Molecule: long non-coding RNA, 3521 nt
Organism: Triticum aestivum (bread wheat)
Lineage: Eukaryota; Viridiplantae; Streptophyta; Magnoliopsida; Poales; Poaceae
Exons: 3
Source: RefSeq, a predicted model, not a curated record